RNAcentral lists this ribosomal RNA (292 nucleotides) under uncultured bacterium. RNAcentral describes it as "partial 16S ribosomal RNA". It matches the Rfam family "Bacterial small subunit ribosomal RNA", at positions 505 to 796 of the family's 1533-position model. The record is from RNAcentral.
GUGCCAGCAGCCGCGGUAAGACAGAGGUUGCAAACGUUGUUCGGAAUCACUGGGCAUAAAGCGCACGUAGGCGGUCUGUUAAGUCAGGUGUGAAAGCCCCCGGCUCAACCGGGGAACAGCAUUUGAUACUGGCAGACUCGAGGAUGGUAGGGGUGAGUGGAACUCCAGGUGGAGCGGUGAAAUGCGUAGAUAUCUGGAGGAACACCGGUGGCGAAAGCGGCUCACUGGACCAUAACUGACGCUGAGGUGCGAAAGCUAGGGUAGCAAACGGGAUUAGAUACCCCUGUAGUCC